GAUGAACGCUGGCGGCGUGCCUAAUACAUGCAAGUCGAGCGAACGGACGAGAAGCUUGCUUCUCUUAUGUUAGCGGCGGACGGGUGAGUAACACGUGGAUAACCUACCUAUAAGACUGGGAUAACUUCGGGAAACCGGAGCUAAUACCGGAUGAUAUUUUGAACCGCAUGGUUCAAAAGUGAAAGACGGUCUUGCUGUCACUUAUAGAUGGAUCCGCGCUGCAUUAGCUAGUUGGUAAGGUAACGGCUUACCAAGGCAACGAUGCAUAGCCGACCUGAGAGGGUGAUCGGCCACACUGGAACUGAGACACGGUCCAGACUCCUACGGGAGGCAGCAGUAGGGAAUCUUCCGCAAUGGGCGAAAGCCUGACGGAGCAACGCCGCGUGAGUGAUGAAGGUCUUCGGAUCGUAAAACUCUGUUAUUAGGGAAGAACAUAUGUGUAAGUAACUGUGCACAUCUUGACGGUACCUACUCAGAAAGCCACGGCUAACUACGUG
Molecule: ribosomal RNA, 497 nt
Filed under: uncultured bacterium
Lineage: Bacteria
Description: partial 16S ribosomal RNA
Rfam family: Bacterial small subunit ribosomal RNA
Source: RNAcentral